This 495-nucleotide ribosomal RNA is filed under the name uncultured bacterium. RNAcentral's name for it is "partial 16S ribosomal RNA". It matches the Rfam family "Bacterial small subunit ribosomal RNA", at positions 28 to 507 of the family's 1533-position model. The record is from RNAcentral.
GACGAACGCUGGCGGCGUGCCUAAUACAUGCAAGUAGAACGCUGAAGGAGGAGCUUGCUCUUCUGGAUGAGUUGCGAACGGGUGAGUAACGCGUAGGUAACCUGCCUGGUAGCGGGGGAUAACUAUUGGAAACGAUAGCUAAUACCGCAUAAGAGUAGAUGUUGCAUGACAUUUACUUAAAAGGUGCAAUUGCAUCACUACCAGAUGGACCUGCGUUGUAUUAGCUAGUUGGUGGGGUAACGGCUUACCAAGGCGACGAUACCUAGCCGACCUGAGAGGGUGAUCGGCCACACUGGGACUGAGACACGGCCCAGACUUCUACGGGAGGCAGCAGUAGGGAAUCUUCGGACAUGGACGGAAGUCUGACCGAGCAACGCCGCGUGAGUGAAGAAGGUUUUCGGAUCGGAAAGCUCUGUUGUAAGAGAAGAACGAGUGUGAGAGUGGAAAGUUCACACUGUGACGGUAUCUUACCAGAAAGGGACGGCUAACUACGUG